AAGGCUGUGGCUUAGUGAUAAAGCAUCUGCUUUGGACACAGAAAGUCCCAGGUUAAAUCCUGACCUUUUCA
Molecule: non-coding RNA, 71 nt
Organism: Phrynosoma platyrhinos (Desert horned lizard)
Lineage: Eukaryota; Metazoa; Chordata; Lepidosauria; Squamata; Phrynosomatidae
Source: the annotation of a GenBank genome assembly